AGAGUUUGAUCCUGGCUCAGGAUGAACGCUGGCGGCGUGCCUAAUACAUGCAAGUCGAGCGAAUGGAUUAAGAGCUUGCUCUUAUGAAGUUAGCGGCGGACGGGUGAGUAACACGUGGGUAACCUGCCCAUAAGACUGGGAUAACUCCGGGAAACCGGGGCUAAUACCGGAUAACAUUUUGCACCGCAUGGUGCGAAAUUGAAAGGCGGCUUCGGCUGUCACUUAUGGAUGGACCCGCGUCGCAUUAGCUAGUUGGUGAGGUAACGGCUCACCAAGGCAACGAUGCGUAGCCGACCUGAGAGGGUGAUCGGCCACACUGGGACUGAGACACGGCCCAGACUCCUACGGGAGGCAGCAGUAGGGAAUCUUCCGCAAUGGACGAAAGUCUGACGGAGCAACGCCGCGUGAGUGAUGAAGGCUUUCGGGUCGUAAAACUCUGUUGUUAGGGAAGAACAAGUGCUAGUUGAAUAAGCUGGCACCUGACGGUA
RNAcentral lists this ribosomal RNA (488 nucleotides) under Bacillus sp. RHF88. RNAcentral describes it as "bacterial SSU rRNA". It matches the Rfam family "Bacterial small subunit ribosomal RNA", at positions 8 to 487 of the family's 1533-position model. Lineage: Bacteria; Bacillati; Bacillota; Bacilli; Caryophanales; Bacillaceae. The record is from RNAcentral.